Molecule: ribosomal RNA, 253 nt
Filed under: uncultured bacterium
Lineage: Bacteria
Description: partial 16S ribosomal RNA
Rfam family: Bacterial small subunit ribosomal RNA
Source: RNAcentral
UACGUAGGGAGCAAGCGUUGUCCGGAAUCAUUGGGCGUAAAGCGCGCGUAGGUGGCCCUGUAAGUCCGUUGUGAAAGUCGAAGGCUCAACCUUUGAAAGCCGAUGGAUACUGCAGGGCUAGAGUACGGAAGAGGCGAGUGGAAUUCCUGGUGUAGCGGUGGAAUGCGCAGAUAUCAGGAGGAACACCAAUAGCGAAGGCAGCUCGCUGGGACGUUACUGACACUGAGGCGCGAAAGCGUGGGGAGCGAACAGG